This 484-nucleotide ribosomal RNA is filed under the name uncultured bacterium. RNAcentral's name for it is "partial 16S ribosomal RNA". It matches the Rfam family "Bacterial small subunit ribosomal RNA", at positions 28 to 507 of the family's 1533-position model. The record is from RNAcentral.
AUUGAACGCUGGCGGCAUGCUUUACACAUGCAAGUCGAACGGCAGCGCGGGCUUCGGCCUGGCGGCGAGUGGCGAACGGGUGAGUAAUGCAUCGGAACGUGCCCCGUAGCGGGGGAUAGCCCGGCGAAAGCCGGAUCAAUACCGCAUACGACCUGAGGGUGAAAGCGGGGGACCGAAAGGCCUUGCGCUAUGGGAGCGGCCGAUGUCGGAUUAGCUAGUUGGUGGGGUAAAGGCUUACCAAGGCGACGAUCCGUAGCUGGUCUGAGAGGAGGACCAGCCACACUGGGACUGAGACACGGCCCAGACUCCUACGGGAGGCAGCAGUGGGGAAUUUUGGACAAUGGGGGCAACCCUGAUCCAGCCAUGCCGCGUGCGGGAAGAAGGCCUUCGGGUUGUAAACCGCUUUUGUUCGGGAAGAAAUCCUCUGGGCUAAUACCCCGGGGGGAUGACGGUACCGGAAGAAUAAGCACCGGCUAACUACGUG